Molecule: ribosomal RNA, 460 nt
Filed under: uncultured bacterium
Lineage: Bacteria
Description: partial 16S ribosomal RNA
Rfam family: Bacterial small subunit ribosomal RNA
Source: RNAcentral
CCUACGGGAGGCAGCAGUGAGGAAUAUUGGUCAAUGGGCGCGAGCCUGAACCAGCCACGUCGCGUGAAUGAUGACUGCCCUACGGGUUGUAAACUUCUUUUAUAAAGGAAUAAAGUGAGGCACGUGUGCCUUUUUGUAUGUACUUUAUGAAUAAGGAUCGGCUAACUCCUUGCCAGCAGCCGCGGUCAUACGGAUGAUCCGAGCGUUAUCCGGAUUUAUUGGGUUUAAAGGGAGCGUAGGUGGGUUGUUAAGUCAGUUGUGAAAGUUUGCGGCUCAACCGUAAAAUUGCAAUUGAUACUGGGAGUCUUGAGUACAGGUGAGGUAGGAGGAAUGCGUGGUGUAGCGGUGAAAUGCUUAGAUAGCACGAAGAACGCCGAUGGCGAAGGCAGCUUACUAACCUGUCACUGACAUUGAUGCUCGAAAGCGUGGGUAUCAAACAGGAUUAGAUACCCUUGUAGUC